CUCUCUCUAGAGAAAAGUCGCCGUUUUGCACCGUUUUCGUCGCCGCGCUUGUUCUUCGCUGUUUGCGAGCGUCGCAGAGCUUUCGCGGACGCGUGGGAGAGUGUUUUGGACAGGUUUUCGCAGCCCUGGAUCAGCAGGUCACUGGUUGGAAGCUUAAGAAGGUCUUCGAGCCUCGUUGAGCUGAACUUGUACUCUUAGAAGUUGGUUUGGAAGGUAUUCUAACCUGAGCGGGAGUUCGACUGACCUUUGGGUCAUCCUUGGUUGGCUUUGGGAAGCCUUUAGAGACUUAAUUGGAGGUACUAAAGUGAACCAAAACAGCGAUUUAUGUUACUACUUGAUACGAGAUGUGAAUUGAGCCGAAAUCGGACAUUUCGGCCGUAGAUUUAAUCCGAUCUUGAC
This is a long non-coding RNA of Ananas comosus (pineapple), 399 nucleotides long. RefSeq lists it as uncharacterized. The transcript is spliced from 3 exons. Lineage: Eukaryota; Viridiplantae; Streptophyta; Magnoliopsida; Poales; Bromeliaceae. The record is from RefSeq and is a predicted model, not a curated record.